UCACGGUACCAACAAUUUCAUGCCUGUAAAAAAGAAGUUACAACUACUAUCUUUGCACAUAUGCAUCUAAGGAACCAUUCAAGCAAUCAGAAACACUUUGGCAGUUCAACAUACGUUAUGAAAAAAGUGUAGCACUUUAGCUUCUAUGUAUGUAUAGCUGCUACAUAUAAUCUGAAGCUUGUUUUAGUUGGGAAGCAAUUCAAGAAUUAGUUGCUUAUAUACGGUGUAGAAGGCCAUAACGCAUAAGUUAUCUCAUAAAAGGCCUCAUACAGUGCAAAUGUUUAACUAUUUAACAGCUUAUAUACAGAGAAGAAGUAAGCUGGUUAGUAUGAAUUCAUAAAAUCACAUUCUUACACGUGUCCAGGAAAGAAUUUAGGCCUCAAAACUUAUAAUAUGGGGCUUCUCUUCAGCAAAUAAUGAACAAGCCCCACAACGUUCUAUUUUCUGAUCAAGGAAUGGCCUAGUUAGCCGUUCACGUCUCUAUAAAGGAAAAGAAAUAGAAGUUCUAUGACCCUCUAUUUAAUUUACAACUAGAAACCACCAAAUGGACAAAAAACACAGUAGACAAAUAAGAAUUCAACAGACUGUAAACAGAUUUUCCACACUAUUGGAAUUUAGAAAAUGCAAACCAUGAAUCCAGCAAUUUGUGAGUUUUAUUUAUUUAUUUAUUUUAAGAUGGGACAAGUUGUCAAAUUUUUAGUAGAAUUUAGGGAGAACUUACAAAUACUUGAAAACAUCAAUGAUUGGUUGUGAUCAGGAUGCUUCAGAAUCACUGCUUUUUUGGCCAAGUUAGUGGUUGAUUAAAGGAGUGUAACUGCCAACAAGUUCUUGCAAGCAAAGUACAAAAAUGAAAUGGGGACUGUGCUUUGUAGGAUUCGAAAGUUCAAGCAACUUGAUUGCUGCCAUGGCAUCCUCUUGUUUAUGUGCACAGACUAGGAUCUCGAGCCUCUCAUUACAUUGAGCAUACUGUAUGCAUUUUUUCUUAUAGCCUAUGUAAUGCUUAUUAGGAUCAUAGAGCAACUUGAUUAGGGGUGGUGCAUAUGUUGUCAAUAGAAAUAUCAAAAAAAAAAAUCCCACUAGUACUGUCCAGAUCCUUUAACUGCAAGGAGAAAAGGAGACAAAUAAGAAAGAGUGAGUUCACUUGUUUAUAUACAUACACAUAACACUAAGUACACUAGGAAUUAAUCUUUAAGUCCAACAUGAAUAUCAGUAUAGGUACAGGCAAUGAACCAGAGGCAUUCAAUAAUUUUGCAAUGAGAAGUUCUAGCAGCAAUUGCGUUGCCCGCGACUAACAUUAUGUUAGGGUAAGAGUCUCUAACAAAGAAUUAUAGAAGAUUUAGAAAAGAAGAGAAGAAGAAGAUUAGAAGGGAAGAUAGAAAGAAGAGAAGAUUAGAGAGUUGUAUUUCUUGAUUAUUGUUCCAGAAUGAAAAUACAAGAAUAGCUAUUGAGCUUUAUAUAGCAGCUUAGUAACAACCUAUUGCUAAGAGUAGUUAAACAGCUCAACAACUUUACUGCUCAGCAACUUUAGUAACUACCUCUCUCUUAAUUCCCGCCAAACAUACUUCCAAGCUAACUCUUUAAACUAACUCCCAACGUUUCUAACUACUCACUAUUUCUUUCUAUACUUCCUCCUCUGAUACGUAACACAUUACUACUUGUUAUUUCUCAACAUAAAAUAGAAUGGUGAGAUUGAUUAGUUUGAUGCAUAUAAGUACCUCAAGAAUAGUGUAGCUCAAAAAUGUUCCCAUCUCCUUUGUGCCUUUAACAUUCAAAAUUUUAGAGUAAGAGCAGCAGCUUCUCUGAAAGGCAUGUUGAUAGAGAGUACCAUGAGAUAAGUUGCUGCCAACUUUAUUAUGUACCCUAUUAAGGCCAUUUGAAAAUUGAGAGCAUCUUCAAAAUGGUCUACUAAUACCCAUAGAUUAAAUUUGGAGGCACAGAAACUAGACAGCAGGGGAAUGAGCAAGCCAUAGACAACAGUAUCAAGCUUAGAUGUUAAGGUUGUUGCUAAUGGAGACCUUGCUGGGAUUAACAAGCCAAAAAGAAAAGGACCCCAAAGAUAUUCCAAUCCAUAUUCUCACCCAAUGAUGCCAAAUCUAAAACAACUACAACUAUGAAAUGAAUGUAAAUAUCCUUAAUAGGUUCCCCUUCUGGGGUCACUCUAAUGAACCAUAAGGUCAGUAUUCUCAAGAAUACAAUCAACAUGAGAAAGAAAAUGGAAGAAGAGCAGACUGAAAUCCAAGUCUUGGUGAUACUGGAGUAAAAAUUCUGGCACCAAGAUACCAGAGAUUUUAGCUAACAAAUCUUGCGAUAUCACCAAGUAAUGAAUGUUGAGAGCUACCUGGGCCUUAUCUUUCAUUUAGUAAUGGAGGUAUGUCGGUAGUCUUUAAGUGCGGUCCAAAAGUAGGUAAAUUUUUUCGAGUUCCAUCGUUGUUGCAUCAAAUUACAAAUUAUCUCUAGUGAGGCCGGAUAUGAAGGUGGAAGCCGAUUGCAUGAGUGGAGAUAUAGAAAUUUGAGCUGCAAUUCUCACAGCUUAAGUAAGAAUUGGGUGCUUAUGGGUUAUUCUUGAUUUCCAUAUGUGAUAUUAUUUCCUGUUAUUGAAUCCAUAGCUAUUGGGGUAACUGAUAUUGAUUUGUGAGAAUUUUGUUGGUUUGAAUUUGAAGUUUUGCUUGUCUUUUGGCUUUAAUCUGGCUUGUUUUUAUUAAUUCUUCAAUGUUGAAUACUAAUUUCAUGAAGGUUAUUUGUGAUAUGAAUUGAUUUGAGUUUUUCUAAACCUUAAGGAGUGCAGUUGUUUUUGGUAAAAACUUUUUUACUCUAUUCGUAAUAUGUUAGUUGCAUUGUUCUCUUGUUUUAGGUUUCAAGAUGGUUAAAAAUACUGCAUGGAGAUGUCUUGAUAAAAUUGGAGUUUUUAUACCAAGAGAAUUCUUAGUACUAGGAAUUGUAAAUCUACUGUGAAUUCUUUAUUGGGUGUUUUUUAUUCGCUGUACUCGGAAACUUCAACAAUGCCAAUAACAGAGAUUGGUGCAUCUGACCACAUAGUUCUGAGAAAUAUGAUUUGGAAGUUUAAGCUGCUGAAAAGGGAUUACAAACUCAACUGAAAUUCCCAAAGCAGAUAUGAUCGUAGGAUCUAAUUACUCUGCUUUCUCAUCUGGAAUCUGACAACCAACCUCGCAAGCUUCCCCUAAAUGCCCGAGGAC
This 3194-nucleotide unclassified non-coding RNA is filed under the name Hevea brasiliensis (rubber tree). The record is from RNAcentral. Lineage: Eukaryota; Viridiplantae; Streptophyta; Magnoliopsida; Malpighiales; Euphorbiaceae.